UUGAACCUGGCGGAAGGAUCAUU
RNAcentral lists this ribosomal RNA (23 nucleotides) under Pseudevernia furfuracea. Its description in RNAcentral is "partial 18S ribosomal RNA". The record is from RNAcentral. Lineage: Eukaryota; Fungi; Ascomycota; Lecanoromycetes; Lecanorales; Parmeliaceae.